RNAcentral lists this ribosomal RNA (576 nucleotides) under uncultured eukaryote. RNAcentral's name for it is "bacterial SSU rRNA". It matches the Rfam family "Eukaryotic small subunit ribosomal RNA", at positions 195 to 758 of the family's 1831-position model. The record is from RNAcentral.
AGAGGGGCGCUUUUAUUAGAUCAAAGCCAACUUGAAAUUGGUGGUGACUCUGGAUAACUUUGUGCCGAUCGCAUCAGCCCUCGUGGCUGGCGACGUAUCCUUCAAGUGUCUGACCUAUCAAGUUUCGAUGGUGCGAGCUGUGCCCACCAUGCUGUUAACGGGUAACGGGGAAUCAGGGUUCGAUUCCGGAGAGGGAGCCUGCGAAACGGCUACCACAUCCAAGGAGGGCAGCAGGCGCGCAAAUUACCCAUUGCUCACCUGAGCGAGGUAGUGACGAGAAAUAACAAUAUCGCGGCCCAACGUGGUUGUGAUAAUUGGAAUGAGCACACUUUAAAUCCUUUGAAUCGAGGAUCUACUGGAGGGCGAGUCUGGUGCCAGCAGCCGCGGUAAUUCCAGCUCCAGCAGCGUAUACUAGAGUUGUUGCAGUUAAAAAGCUCGUAGUUGGAAGUCGACCCGUCGGGGCGGUUCUGUUUCGCGACAGUCUAACUGCCUGCCGACGGGGAUGUCGCCGGUGUGUGCGCAAGCACAUGGCUGGAGGGCGGGGGCGUGGUGCGCAAGUGCCGCGUCUUUCGUUUU